CUUACCAUGAGUUGCCAGGGCUGAGAGAGAUGGAGAAGGAUUCGCGGCGGUGACAGAUUAAAUUCCCCAGUUACAUUAUAGACUUGGAGGUGGGGGAUCUUCUCAUCGUUAGAGGCCCUGAUCAUGGGAGAUAGGCGGUUCGGAGCCAGUCCUGCCUAACUUUGUGUUCACUAAUGUUAGGGCUGCAAAGGUGGGCACCCCUACUCGUCUAAGAGCUUUCUCCUCUCUUCUCUUUUUCCCUUUUGUCUCUCUCCUUACAUCACCUGCCCACUGAGUAGACUUGUCCUUGUGUGAACGGGAGCCGGAAAGCCUUGAGAACUUAUUCCUCGACCCGGACAUGGCACAGGAGAAAAUGGAACUAGGUUUCAAGUCGCUGCCGAGUUCCACUACCGCAGACGGCAACAUUCUGAGAAGAGUCAACAGUGCCCCUUUGAUCAAUGGACUUGGUUUUAAUUCACAGGUGUUGCAAGCUGACAUGUUAAGAAUUAGGACAAACAGAACAACGUUUAGGAAUCAACGCUCUCUGUUGUUGCCACCUUCUCCCUUUCAUGGUUCCAUCAGCCGCCUUCAUCAAAUCAAACAGGAAGAAGCCAUGGAUUUAAUAAAUAGAGAAACAAUGUAUGAAUGGAAGCUACAAACUGUGAUACAGAUAAGUCAAUCUUGGGAAGAAGGCUUGAAACUGGUGAAAUGGCAUUUCAAUAUCAACCAAGAAAGAUCUUCCAAGGCACAACCAACAUGCUUUCUUCUGAUACUUCCCAACUGUCAGAAAAUAAU
RNAcentral lists this small RNA (774 nucleotides) under Pongo abelii (Sumatran orangutan). RNAcentral's name for it is "processed transcript". Lineage: Eukaryota; Metazoa; Chordata; Mammalia; Primates; Hominidae. The record is from RNAcentral.